UGUAUCGUGUUUCUGGUACGCCUGUAAACCUGACGCACAGCUACGUCCGCUAACAGCGAGGCAGGAUGAAGCCGCUUCUCUCUGGCCAGCUGUGAUGUUUUCCUGGUUCAUGCAGGACAAAGGAAACCCUGCGUUCAUCAGAGCUCGGUUUCUGACAACAGGAAACAGGUAAUCCGAUGAGUCGUCACAGCAGAUGGAAUGAAAACGAUUAAAAACAUCAUUCUGCUUUCCUCGAGCAAUUUCCCACGAGUCAAACAACCGCAGUGUUUUCAUUCAGGAGGAAACUAUUAUCUGAAAACAAUCCAGUUAAUGCAUCCAGUGUCUAAUCAGAGCCGUCAGGCUUCCCUCCACUCCGCUGACGGUGAUUUGAUUGGACUGGACCGUUCUCUCACUUCAUUACCAGCUGACAUGGAGGACGAGUUUCCACGACUCAGAUUAACAUCCUGAAGAACCAAAAUGUGCUGGUGGCAGAAAAUGACAGAGUCGGAGCAGAAAGACAUGAAACAGAAACAUGAUUUCUCCUGGCGGCGCUCCAGCUGCAGCUGUAAAUUAUAAAUCAAAAUCCUGGUUUUCAGAAGCUUCACAAACGAUGAUAAAAAGACAGGAGUGUAAAAACGAA
Long non-coding RNA from Poecilia reticulata (guppy), 619 nucleotides. RefSeq lists it as uncharacterized. The record is from RefSeq and is a predicted model, not a curated record. Lineage: Eukaryota; Metazoa; Chordata; Actinopteri; Cyprinodontiformes; Poeciliidae.